Molecule: ribosomal RNA, 445 nt
Filed under: uncultured Anaerolineaceae bacterium
Lineage: Bacteria; Bacillati; Chloroflexota; Anaerolineae; Anaerolineales; Anaerolineaceae
Description: bacterial SSU rRNA
Rfam family: Bacterial small subunit ribosomal RNA
Source: RNAcentral
GCACAAGCAGCGGUAGCGUGUGGUUUAAUUCGAUGCUACACGAAGAACCUUACCAGGGUUUGACAUGUAAGUGGUAGUGAUCUGAAAAGUGAACGACCUUCGGGAGCUUACACAGGUGCUGCAUGGCUGUCGUCAGCUCGUGUCGUGAGAUGUUCGGUUAAGUCCGCUAACGAGCGCAACCCUCACUGUGUGUUAUACGUGUCACACGGGACUGCCGGUUUUAAGCCGGAGGAAGGCGAGGAUGACGUCAAGUCAGCAUGGCCUUUAUAUCCUGGGCUACACACACGCUACAAUGGCCUGUACAACAGGUUGCCAAACCGCGAGGUGGAGCCAAUCCCUAAAACAGGCCUCAGUUCAGAUUGCAGGCUGCGACCCGCCUGCAUGAAGCCGGAGUUGCUAGUAACCGCAGGUCAGCUAUACUGCGGUGAAUACGUUCCCGGGUCUU